CACUCCUACGGGAGGCAGCAGUGGGAAUUUUGGACAAUGGGCGAAAGCCUGAUCCAGCAAUGCCGCGUGAGUGAAGAAGGCCUUCGGGUUGUAAAGCUCUUUUGUCAGGGAAGAAACGGUGAGAGCUAAUAUCUCUUGCUAAUGACGGUACCUGAAGAAUAAGCACCGGCUAACUACGUGCCAGCAGCCGCGGUAAUACGUAGGGUGCAAGCGUUAAUCGGAAUUACUGGGCGUAAAGCGUGCGCAGGCGGUUUUGUAAGUCUGAUGUGAAAUCCCCGGGCUCAACCUGGGAAUUGCAUUGGAGACUGCAAGGCUAGAAUCUGGCAGAGGGGGGUAGAAUUCCACGUGUAGCAGUGAAAUGCGUAGAUAUGUGGAGGAACACCGAUGGCGAAGGCAGCCCCCUGGGUCAAGAUUGACGCUCAUGCACGAAAGCGUGGGGAGCAAACAGGAUUAGAAACCCGGGUAGUCCCAUGA
Molecule: ribosomal RNA, 474 nt
Filed under: uncultured organism
Description: partial 16S ribosomal RNA
Rfam family: Bacterial small subunit ribosomal RNA
Source: RNAcentral